CCGCGGUAAUACGGGGGGCGCAAGCGUUGUUCGGAAUUACUGGGCGUAAAGCGCACGUAGGCGGAUCGGUCAGUUAGGGGUGAAAUCCCAGGGCUCAACCCUGGAACUGCCUCUAAUACUGCCGAUCUCGAGUUCGAGAGAGGUGAGUGGAAUUCCGAGUGUAGAGGUGAAAUUCGUAGAUAUUCGGAGGAACACCAGUGGCGAAGGCGGCUCACUGGCUCGAUACUGACGCUGAGGUGCGAAAGCGUGGGGAGCAAACAGG
This 262-nucleotide ribosomal RNA is filed under the name uncultured bacterium. RNAcentral describes it as "partial 16S ribosomal RNA". It matches the Rfam family "Bacterial small subunit ribosomal RNA", at positions 515 to 776 of the family's 1533-position model. The record is from RNAcentral.